Molecule: ribosomal RNA, 500 nt
Filed under: uncultured bacterium
Lineage: Bacteria
Description: bacterial SSU rRNA
Rfam family: Bacterial small subunit ribosomal RNA
Source: RNAcentral
UGAACGCUGGCGGCGUGCUUAACACAUGCAAGUCGAGCGAGAACGUCGACUUCGGUCGACUAGUAAAGCGGCGAACGGGUGAGUAACACGUGGGCAACCUGCCCUGGAGUGGGGGAUAACCUGGGGAAACUCGGGCUAAUACCGCAUACGACCUCAGCACUGCGGUGCUGAGGGGAAAGCUGGCCAAUUCAUGAAAGCUAGCGCUCCUGGAGGGGCCCGCGCCCGAUUAGCUUGUUGGUGAGGUAACGGCUCACCAAGGCAGUGAUCGGUAGCCGGCCUGAGAGGGCGAUCGGCCACACUGGGACUGAGACACGGCCCAGACUCCUACGGGAGGCAGCAGUGGGGAAUAUUGGACAAUGGGCGCAAGCCUGAUCCAGCAACGCCGCGUGGAGGACGAAGGCCUUCGGGUCGUAAACUCCUGUCAGUUGGGACGAAAAGUCGUCGGUCAAUAGCCGGCGAUCAUGACGGUACCAGCAGAGGAAGCCCCGGCUAACUCCGUG